This 1087-nucleotide long non-coding RNA is filed under the name Sinocyclocheilus grahami. Its description in RNAcentral is "lncRNA (ENSSGRG00000020444.1)". The record is from RNAcentral. Lineage: Eukaryota; Metazoa; Chordata; Actinopteri; Cypriniformes; Cyprinidae.
GUGAAAACUACACAAGUUCUAGUAACAAUCUGCUUGACACUCCAACAUAGUAGAUGGCAGUAUUGCACCUUAAUGCUGGUUGCCACCCAUCAUAAAACAGACAAAAAUUAACUUUUUGUAUGCUUUUGUGCAGUUAUGGUUACAAACUCACUCUCUGCCUUCCUACACUCGUAUUUAAAGUGUGAUAAAAAGAUGAAUUUGAGUGACAUUGUUUUUCCAAACUUCUAUAGAUAUAGCAAUAAUAUUAUUGUGUAGUCUUUUGGCCAUGUUCAUCAUGCAGUGAAAACAUGACACCAUGACACCUUCCUCUUCUGCUGGUAAAAUAGUCAUACGAUAACUAAUAUCAUCACUGCAACACACAAACACACGCAGCAUUAGCUCCUGCUCUGGUUUUGGUUUGCACAGAACAGUGCAAGUUUUUUGGAAUGAAGCUCAGUUUGUUUGCUUUUCCCAAUCAUUUAAUACCUCCAGACACAACGAGAAUAUCAUGUCAUUGCAUCUUGUUAAUUGAGGUGUGUUUUUUUUGUCUCUAGUUGGACUUGCCUCUAGGUUUUCCAUUCUAUAAGUGGAUGCUGAGGCACGAGUCCUCCGUCAGCUCUCAUGACCUGGUCAACAUUGAUCCUGGUGUCGCCAAAUCCAUCCAGCACCUGGAGGACAUCAUCCGCCAGAAGAAGAGAAUAGAGCAGGACCGAUCACACGUGAGCACUGGCCGCUAACUACAUGACACAUGGAGACAUGAAACAUUCAAAACCAACCAACACCUGGACUGUUUUUUUGUAUUGUAACUGUCUGUAUUUGUCAGACACGGGAGACCCUACAGCAGGCCUUGGAGAGUCUCAACAUGAACGGCUGCUCGGUGGAAGAUCUGGGCCUGGACUUCACUCUGCCUGGAUUCCCAAACAUCGAGUUGAAGAAAGGGGGCAAAGACGUGCCAGUCACCAUUCACAACCUGGAGGAAUACCUCAGAUUGGUGGUCUACUGGACACUCAAUGAGGGCGUCUCUCGGCAGUUUGAGUCGUUUAGGGAAGGAUUUGAGUCUGUCUUCCCUCUGCAUCACCUGCAGUACUUCUAUCCUGAAGAGGUGAGC